AACGCACAUUGCGCCUGCUAGUACUCUAGCAGGCAUGCCUGUCCGAGCGUCAUCUUACCCCUCAGGCGGCCCCUGUUUGCCGCCUGGUGUUGGGGCUCCUACGCGCCGCCGUAGGCCCUGAAAUUCGUCGGCGAGCCCGCCGGAGCUCCCCAGCGCAGUGGUGAAUCACCGCUGAGGGUGCCCGGAGGGUCCUCUGCCCACCGGCGCCGCGCGCGGCGCCCAGCACCUGUUUGACCUCGGAUCAGGUAGGACUACCCGCUGAACUUAA
Molecule: unclassified non-coding RNA, 268 nt
Filed under: uncultured fungus
Lineage: Eukaryota; Fungi
Description: partial contains 5.8S ribosomal RNA, internal transcribed spacer 2, and large subunit ribosomal RNA
Source: RNAcentral